This 69-nucleotide transfer RNA is filed under the name Creontiades dilutus (green mirid). Its description in RNAcentral is "tRNA-Gln". The record is from RNAcentral. Lineage: Eukaryota; Metazoa; Arthropoda; Insecta; Hemiptera; Miridae.
UAUAUUUUGUUGUAUGAUGCAUAUAGAAUUUUGAUUUCUAAGGAUUUAGUUUAAAUCUAAAAAAUAUAA